AAGAGUUACUUUGCGAGGCUCCGUCUGCUCCGGCGCCGGUAACUGACAAGACGCGGGCGCCCCGGGCAGUGAAUGCAGCCCAGCCCCCAGCAGGGCAUUGCCAACGCUCCUACUUGGUCCCCUGCCUCAGAGCCAGAUGAAGCUGGCAUAGCACCUGAAACUGAUCUCCCACCUAGAA
RNAcentral lists this long non-coding RNA (178 nucleotides) under Vombatus ursinus (common wombat). RNAcentral describes it as "lncRNA (ENSVURG00010010749.1)". Lineage: Eukaryota; Metazoa; Chordata; Mammalia; Diprotodontia; Vombatidae. The record is from RNAcentral.